AUCUGGGUUCAGACCCAGGAGCAAGAACAAACCCCGGCGCCACGAGACGAGAGGCAGACCUCGGGUUUCAUACUGGCUUUGGCCCACGGGAGGCGGCUACCCGGGCGACGGAAGCCCUGGGCCGCCGGGUUCCCCUCCGGCCUCGGGAAAUCCUCCUCCUCCUCCCAGGCCACACGGUGCAAACUGCAGAGCUGGGGUCGGCCCCGGCUCCCGAGUCAGCACGCCGCCGCGCCUGUGCCCCCGCGCACGACCCGGCGUGCUGAGUCGUCGUGGGCGCGACUCACCUGCAGGCGGGGCGGCCGGCGAGCCCGAGCCCGAGCCCCGGCCCCGGCCCCAGCCCCGGCCCCAGCCUCGCUCCCUGCCCCAGCGCCCGCGCGCCGAGAGCGCCGUCCCCAGCGAGCAGGGCCUGGACCUUGCCCUUGCCCCUCGGAGCGCCCCCGGGGGGUGGCGGGAUCUCGGCCGGGCCCGGCUGGGGACGCCCUGUCCGGAAUCGGGGGGGCUCGGGCCCGCCGAGCAGUCCCGGCCAGGCCGCUCUCCUCCGCCUCGCGCGCCCGGAGCGCGGUCCACACCGUACCUUCCGGCCACUCCGCCGUGCCGAGCCAGAAAGUUCCGCCCUCUGCCCUAGCCCGGGUCCCCUCGCCGCCACCGCCGGGCCGGCCCGGAGACGCCCGGCUCAACCAGGGCUCGCACCGCCUCUUCCGCGUAGCGAGCUGUCAGCUGAGCCGGGCGGAUCCGGCUGGGGCGGCCCGGCGAGGAGUGGGCUUCGCGCAGGCGCCGUGGCCGCCCCGGUCCCUCGGUCGCCCCCUGCAGGCCAAAGGCGGCGCUGCCGGCGCGGUCCCGUCACCGCGCCCCACACGCGGCCCUGGCAAGUUGAUACAAACGCAGCUUCUGUGCCCCCGGGGCUCCUUCUUUUCAGUAGUUCCGGGAUGCGCUCGGGAAUUAGAAGUUUUGCCAACCCUUAGAGGUGAGGGGAGGCCAUGGUCUAUCCACGACAGACCUGCUCCUCCGGGCCGACUAAGCAGGUUGCCCAUUUCUGUGGUACCUCCUCUAGGAGAGCAUUCACCAUUGUUAUUACCGCACUUAUUGAGCAGUUAG
Molecule: long non-coding RNA, 1095 nt
Filed under: Canis lupus dingo (dingo)
Lineage: Eukaryota; Metazoa; Chordata; Mammalia; Carnivora; Canidae
Description: lncRNA (ENSCAFG00020020074.1)
Source: RNAcentral